CUAGAGCUAAUACAUGCUAAAAAUCCCGACUUCGGAAGGGAUGUAUUUAUUAGAUUAAAAGCCAAUGCCCUCUGGGCUCACUGGUGAUUCAUAAUAACUUGUCGAAUCGCAUGGCCUUGCGCCGGCGAUGGUUCAUUCAAAUUUCUGCCCUAUCAACUUUCGACGGCUGGGUCUUGGCCAGCCAUGGUGACAACGGGUAACGGAGGGUUAGGGCUCGACCCCGGAGAAGGAGCCUGAGAAACGGCUACUACAUCCAAGGAAGGCAGCAGGCGCGCAAAUUACCCAAUCCCAACUCGGGGAGGUAGUGACAAUAAAUACUGAUACAGGGCUCUUUUGGGUCUUGUAAUUGGAAUGAGUACAAUUUAAAUCCCUUAACGAGGAACAAUUGGAGGGCAAGUCUGGUGCCAGCAGCCGCGGUAAUUCCAGCUCCAAUAGCGUAUAUUAAAGUUGUUGCGGUUAAAAAGCUCGUAGUUGAACCUUGGGCCUGGCUGGCCGGUCCGCCUCACCGCGUGCACUGGUUCGGUCGGGCCUUUCCCUCUGGGGAACCGCAUGUCCUUCACUGGGCGUGCCGGGGAACCAGGACUUUUACUUUGAAAAAAUUAGAGUGUUCAAAGCAGGCCUAUGCUCGGAUACAUUAGCAUGGAAUAAUAAAAUAGGACGCGCGGUUCUAUUUUGUUGGUUUCUAGGACCGCCGUAAUGAUUAAUAGGGACAGUCGGGGGCAUCAGUAUUCAAUUGUCAGAGGUGAAAUUCUUGGAUUUAUUGAAGACUAACUACUGCGAAAGCAUUUGCCAAGGAUGUUUUCAUUAAUCAGGAACGAAAGUUAGGGGAUCGAAGACGAUCAGAUACCGUCGUAGUCUUAACCAUAAACUAUGCGAACUAGGGAUCGGACGGUGUUAUUUUUUGACCCGUUCGGCACCUUACACGAAAGUACAAGUUUCUGCGUUCCGGGGGGAGUAUGGUCGCAAGGCUGAAACUUAAAGAAAUUGACGGAAGGGCACCACCAGGAGUGGAGCCUGCGGCUUAAUUUGACUCAACACGGGGAAACUCACCAGGUCCAGACACGAUGAGGAUUGACAGAUUGAGAGCUCUUUCUUGAUUUCGUGGGUGGUGGUGCAUGGCCGUUCUUAGUUGGUGGAGUGAUUUGUCUGCCUAAUCGCGAUAACGAACGAGACCUUAACCUGCUAAAUAGCCCGUAUUGCCUUGGCAGUACGCUGGCUUCUUAGAGGGACUAUCGGCUCAAGCCGAUGGAAGUUUGAGGCAAUAACAGGUCUGUGAUGCCCUUAGAUGUUCUGGGCCGCACGGUACGUAACCGCCUAUGGACCCCUAAAGAACCCCUAAAGGACCACCCGUGCUAACUCUCUCUCAGCGCGUUACACUGACAGAGCCAGCGAGUUCUUCCUUGGCCGAAAGGCCCGGGUAAUCUUGUUAAACUCUGUCGUGCUGGGGAUAGAGCAUUGCAAUUAUUGCUCUUCAACGAGGAAUUCCUAGUAAGCGCAAGUCAUCAACUUGCGCUGAUUACGUCCCUGCCCUUUGUACACACCGCCCGUCGCUACUACCGAUUGGAUGGCUCAGUGAGGCUUUCGGACUGGCCCAGAGAGGCGGGCAACUGCCUCUCAGGGCCGGAAAGU
This 1629-nucleotide ribosomal RNA is filed under the name Lentomitella obscura. RNAcentral's name for it is "SSU rRNA". It matches the Rfam family "Eukaryotic small subunit ribosomal RNA", at positions 158 to 1755 of the family's 1831-position model. The record is from RNAcentral. Lineage: Eukaryota; Fungi; Ascomycota; Sordariomycetes; Xenospadicoidales; Xenospadicoidaceae.